Molecule: long non-coding RNA, 266 nt
Filed under: Physcomitrium patens
Lineage: Eukaryota; Viridiplantae; Streptophyta; Bryopsida; Funariales; Funariaceae
Description: long non-coding RNA (PPAT_LNC010799)
Source: RNAcentral
UUUAAAAAGGUCAAUUAAGAUUUGUAACAAUCUCUUAAUUGGAUUCAAAUGAUUUUUACUAGAGCUAAUAGUUGACUUGUCUUCGAACACUUGUACAAAAUUUGAAAGUAAAUUAAUUGUUAAACUAAGAGUUUUUACUGCUGGAAGGUUAAUAUUAAAGUCAAAGAUGGAGGCUAACAAACACCGGAGUAGAUUAUGAUGUUUUGUAAUUAAUAUUUGUAUUUAGGAAUUGAUUAGAAUUUGAUUUAAAAUUUAGGAUUUGAUUA